Molecule: ribosomal RNA, 383 nt
Filed under: uncultured bacterium
Lineage: Bacteria
Description: bacterial SSU rRNA
Rfam family: Bacterial small subunit ribosomal RNA
Source: RNAcentral
GACGAACGCUGGCGGCGUGCUUAACACAUGCAAGUCGAGCGGUAAGGCCCUUUCGGGGGUACACGAGCGGCGAACGGGUGAGUAACACGUGGGUGACCUGCCCUCAGCUCUGGGAUAAGCCUGGGAAACCGGGUCUAAUACCGGAUAUGACUCCAUGACGCAUGUUGUGGGGUGGAAAGCCUUGUGCGGCUGAGGAUGGGCCCGCGGCCUAUCAGCUUGUUGGUGGGGUGAUGGCCUACCAAGGCGACGACGGGCAGCCGGCCUGAGAGGGCGACCGGCCACACUGGGACUGAGACACGGCCCAGACUCCUACGGGAGGCAGCAGUGGGGAAUCUUGCGCAAUGGGCGAAAGCCUGACGCAGCGACGCCGCGUGAGGGAUGAC